This 494-nucleotide ribosomal RNA is filed under the name uncultured bacterium. RNAcentral's name for it is "partial 16S ribosomal RNA". It matches the Rfam family "Bacterial small subunit ribosomal RNA", at positions 28 to 507 of the family's 1533-position model. The record is from RNAcentral.
GACGAACGCUGGCGGCGUGCUUAACACAUGCAAGUCGAACGGAAAGGCCUGCUUUCCCUUGUGGAUUGCGGGUACUCGAGUGGCGAACGGGUGAGUAACACGUGAGUGAUCUGCCCCCAACUUGGGUAUAAGCCUGGGAAACUGGGUCUAAUUCCCGAUAGGACUGCAGGGUGGUGCCUGUGGUGGAAAACGAUUUUCUAGUGGUUGGGGAUGAGCUCGCGGCCUAUCAGCUUGUUGGUGGGGUAAUGGCCUACCAAGGCGGCGACGGGUAGCCGGCCUGGGAGGGUGGGCGGCCACAUUGGGACUGAGAUACGGCCCAGACUCCUACGGGAGGCAGCAGUGGGGAAUAUUGCACAAUGGGCGGAAGCCUGAUGCAGCGACGCCGCGUGGGGGAUGACGGCCUUCGGGUUGUAAACUCCUUUCGACCGCGAGGAAGCCACCUGGUUGGAAGGGUGGUGACGGUAGUGGUAGAAGAAGCACCGGCUAACUACGUG